GGACGUGAGGGCAAUCUGGCUGCAACAUCUGUCACCUCAUUGAUCGCCAGGGUUGAUUCAGCGGCUCUGGCUGGCUAGGUGAGUGUCCCCUUCUUCCCUCACCACUCCACAUGCAUCCCUCCAAAGCUUCAUGCUUGGUGGAAGGGGGUAUUCAAGUAGCUGGGCUCCCCGUUAGAUCCUCCAAACCAGCUCUCAGUGAAGCCUUCCCUGGUCCUCCCCCAUCCCACUCCACCCCCCCAUUGUG
Molecule: small nuclear RNA, 244 nt
Filed under: Erinaceus europaeus (western European hedgehog)
Lineage: Eukaryota; Metazoa; Chordata; Mammalia; Eulipotyphla; Erinaceidae
Description: 7SK RNA
Rfam family: 7SK RNA
About the family: 7SK was discovered as an abundant small nuclear RNA in the mid-70s but a possible function has only recently been suggested. Two independent studies have found that 7SK RNA binds the CDK9/cyclin T complex (known as elongation factor P-TEFb).
Source: Rfam by way of RNAcentral